CGGGCUUGCCUAGAACGGGUUACC
RNAcentral lists this microRNA (24 nucleotides) under Solanum tuberosum (potato). Its description in RNAcentral is "stu-miR7985". Lineage: Eukaryota; Viridiplantae; Streptophyta; Magnoliopsida; Solanales; Solanaceae. The record is from miRBase by way of RNAcentral.